Molecule: ribosomal RNA, 351 nt
Filed under: uncultured bacterium
Lineage: Bacteria
Description: bacterial SSU rRNA
Rfam family: Bacterial small subunit ribosomal RNA
Source: RNAcentral
UGGGUUUGACAUCCUCGGACCGCCAUAGAGAUAUGGUUUUCCCUUCGGGGACCGAGUGACAGGUGCUGCAUGGCUGUCGUCAGCUCGUGUCGUGAGAUGUUGGGUUAAGUCCCGCAACGAGCGCAACCCUUGUCCUUAGUUGCCAGCACGUAAUGGUGGGAACUCUAAGGAGACUGCCGGUGUUAAGCCGGAGGAAGGUGGGGAUGACGUCAAGUCCUCAUGGCCUUUAUAUCCAGGGCUACACACGUGCUACAAUGGUGACUACAAAGAGCAGCAAGGCCGCGAGGUUAAGCGAAUCUCAAAAAAGUCAUCUCAGUUCGGAUCGCAGUCUGCAACUCGGCUGCGUGAAGU